This 468-nucleotide ribosomal RNA is filed under the name uncultured bacterium. RNAcentral's name for it is "bacterial SSU rRNA". It matches the Rfam family "Bacterial small subunit ribosomal RNA", at positions 329 to 793 of the family's 1533-position model. The record is from RNAcentral.
UUCCAGACUCCUACGGGAGGCAGCAGUGAGGAAUAUUGGUCAAUGGGCGGAAGCCUGAACCAGCCAAGUCGCGUGAGGGAAGAAGGCCCUGCGGGUCGCAGACCUCUUUGGACGGGGAGCAAGGCCGCCGACGUGUCGGCGGAAGGAGAGUACCCGUAGAAAAAGCAUCGGCUAACUCCGUGCCAGCAGCCGCGGUAAUACGGAGGAUGCGAGCGUUAUCCGGAUUUAUUGGGUUUAAAGGGUGCGUAGGCGGUCCGUUAAGUCAGCGGUAAAAUGGCGGGGCUCAACCCCGUCGAGCCGUUGAAACUGGCAGACUUGAGUUGGCGAGAAGUACGCGGAAUGCGCGGUGUAGCGGUGAAAUGCAUAGAUAUCGCGCAGAACUCCGAUUGCGAAGGCAGCGUACCGGCGCCAGACUGACGCUGAGGCACGAAAGCGUGGGGAUCGAACAGGAUUAGAUACCCGAGUACG